GUCCUAGCUGUAAACGAUGGGCACUAGGUGUGGGGGAUCGACCCCUUCCGUGCCGAAGUUAACGCAUUAAGUGCCCCGCCUGGGGAGUACGACCGCAAGGUUGAAACUCAAAGGAAUUGACGGGGGCCCGCACAAGCGGUGGAGCAUGUGGUUUAAUUCGAUGAUACGCGAAGAACCUUACCGGGGCUUGACAUGCAGCAGAAGUUUCGUGGAAACACGUUCGUCCCUCACGGGGACUGUUGCACAGGUGCUGCAUGGCUGUCGU
RNAcentral lists this ribosomal RNA (265 nucleotides) under uncultured bacterium. RNAcentral describes it as "partial 16S ribosomal RNA". It matches the Rfam family "Bacterial small subunit ribosomal RNA", at positions 793 to 1055 of the family's 1533-position model. The record is from RNAcentral.